Molecule: ribosomal RNA, 115 nt
Filed under: Neoroseomonas marina
Lineage: Bacteria; Pseudomonadati; Pseudomonadota; Alphaproteobacteria; Acetobacterales; Acetobacteraceae
Source: RNAcentral
CCUGGUGGCCAUCGCGGGGUUGCUACACCCGUUCCCAUCCCGAACACGGCCGUGAAACACCCCAGCGCCCAUGGUACUGCGUCUUAAGGCGCGGGAGAGUCGGUCGCCGCCAGGC